Molecule: ribosomal RNA, 810 nt
Filed under: Triticum aestivum (bread wheat)
Lineage: Eukaryota; Viridiplantae; Streptophyta; Magnoliopsida; Poales; Poaceae
Description: partial small subunit ribosomal RNA
Source: RNAcentral
AUGGAAUUGAGUUUGCCACAUACGCUUCAUCUUUUUAAUAUCUUUCGUGAGUAUGAUGGAAAGGAAUAUUGUGCUCAAGUGCUAGAAGAAGAAAUCUAUAGAAUGUUUGGCACUAAAUCUUUGUAUGAUGAGCAAGAUUGCAAUGUUGUUAGUAUGAAUUCUAUGAAUAUCCAUGAUGCUAAUGAUAUGCAAAGCCACAAGCUUGGGGAAGCUAUGUUUGAUGAAGAUGAUAUUUUUUGUGCCCCAAGUUUUGAUGAGCAAAUUUAUUAUGAUGAAAGCAUGCCUCCUAUUUAUGAUGAUUAUUGUGAUGAUACGUAUGCUAUAAAUAAUAAUUAUAACCGUGAAACUUGUCAUCUUGAUCUUAAUUUUCAAUCACAUGAUAGUUAUUUUGUUGAGUUUGCUCCCACUACUAUUGAUGAGAAUAAAUUUGCUUAUGUGGAGAGUAGUAAAAUUUCUAUGCUUGUGCAUCAUGAAAAUAAUGCUUUAUGUGCUGGUUAUAUUGUUGAAUUCAUUCAUGAUGCUACUGAAAAUUAUUAUGAGAGAGGAUCAUAUGCUUGUAGGAGUUGCAAUAAUAUCAAGUUUCCUCUCUAUGUGCUUAAAGUUUUGAAGUUAUGCUUGUUUUGCCUUCCUAUGCUAGUUGAUUAUUGUUCCCAUAAGUUAUUUGCUCACAAAAUCCCUACGCAUAGGAAGUGGGUUAGACUUAAAUAUGCUAGUCAUAUUCCUCAUGAUGCUCUCUUUAUGUUUCAAUUCUUAUCUUUUAUGCGAGCAUCAUUGAAAUCAUCAUGCCUAGCUAGGGGCGUUAAACGUUAG